GGAGAAGUACCCAAGAGGUCGAAGGGGACGGUUUGCUAAACCGUUAGUGGGGGUGACUCCAGCGAGGGUUCAAAUCCCUCCUUCUCCGCCA
RNAcentral lists this transfer RNA (91 nucleotides) under Clostridiaceae bacterium. RNAcentral's name for it is "tRNA-Ser". It matches the Rfam family "tRNA". From Rfam's summary of the family: Transfer RNA (tRNA) molecules are approximately 80 nucleotides in length. Their secondary structure includes four short double-helical elements and three loops (D, anti-codon, and T loops). Lineage: Bacteria; Bacillati; Bacillota; Clostridia; Eubacteriales; Clostridiaceae. The record is from RNAcentral.